GCAUUGGUGGUUCAGUGGUAGAAUUCUUGCCUUCCAUCCUGGAGACCUGGGUUCAAUUCCCGGCCAAUGCA
Molecule: transfer RNA, 71 nt
Organism: Loxodonta africana (African savanna elephant)
Lineage: Eukaryota; Metazoa; Chordata; Mammalia; Proboscidea; Elephantidae
Rfam family: tRNA
About the family: Transfer RNA (tRNA) molecules are approximately 80 nucleotides in length.
Source: Rfam